GGCUGGUCCUUGUGCAGUAGUGUUUACAACUAUUUGAUCACAACCAAUUACAGUUCUUCCCCACUCCCAUUGCUUCACUUGACUGUCCUUAA
Molecule: non-coding RNA, 92 nt
Filed under: Theropithecus gelada (gelada)
Lineage: Eukaryota; Metazoa; Chordata; Mammalia; Primates; Cercopithecidae
Source: RNAcentral